RNAcentral lists this ribosomal RNA (505 nucleotides) under uncultured bacterium. RNAcentral describes it as "bacterial SSU rRNA". It matches the Rfam family "Bacterial small subunit ribosomal RNA", at positions 25 to 518 of the family's 1533-position model. The record is from RNAcentral.
CAGGAUGAACGCUGGCGGCGUGCUUAACACAUGCAAGUCGAACGGACAUAAGACACCGCUUCUGAUUAGUUCGCUAAUGAAGGAGCACCGUUUAUGUUAGUGGCGGACGGGUGAGUAACGCGUGGGCAACCUGCCUUUAUCCGGGGGAUAACAGUUAGAAAUGACUGCUAAUACCGCAUAAGCGCACACUGGGGCAUCCCAGAGUGUGAAAAACUCCGGUGGAUAGAGAUGGACCCGCGUUAGAUUAGCCAGUUGGCGGGGUAACGGCCCACCAAAGCGACGAUCUAUAGCCGGCCUGAGAGGGCGACCGGCCACAUUGGGACUGAGACACGGCCCAAACUCCUACGGGAGGCAGCAGUGGGGAAUAUUGCACAAUGGGGGAAACCCUGAUGCCAGCGACGCCGCGUGAGUGAAGAAGUAUUUCGGUAUGUAAAGCUCUAUCAGCAGGGAAGAAAACGACGGUACCUGCACAAGAAGCCCCGGCUAACUACGUGCCAGCCGCCGC